Molecule: long non-coding RNA, 238 nt
Filed under: Apteryx rowi (Okarito brown kiwi)
Lineage: Eukaryota; Metazoa; Chordata; Aves; Apterygiformes; Apterygidae
Description: lncRNA (ENSARWG00000013294.1)
Source: RNAcentral
AAUCAAUCAAAUUAUAUUGGAAAAGGAGGAGGAAAGCAAAGAGAUUCUGGAGAGUGCUGUCACCAAAGAGAAGGACAAGUUCAAGCAAUCUGUGGAUGAAGAAAAGAAAAAGAUCCAAGACUUGGAAAAUCACCUGAGAAGUAUGACUGAGAUCAUGUUAAAGCAGCAGUUACUCAUGCAAGACGAACAGCUAAAGAUCACUCAGGAUGAGAACGAGUYACUGAAGCAGAAAAUUCAG